Unclassified non-coding RNA from Megachile rotundata (alfalfa leafcutting bee), 6747 nucleotides. NCBI's taxonomy places the organism in Eukaryota, Metazoa, Arthropoda, Insecta, Hymenoptera, Megachilidae. The record is from RefSeq and is a predicted model, not a curated record.
UCGAUUCUCGUUAGUUGCCGCGUAAUAAAACAUAAUUUUCGUGAAUUUUACAUCGACCAAAAGUGUCGCAGCUUCUCGACUAUCCAGUCCGUCCAAACGGACUGCGGCCCUUAAAACAAUUUGGACUGCUCUAGCAAACCAUUUGCUAGAGUGAGAGAGCAUUAAAAAAUGCAAAAUUGGAAUCAAUGGCAAUUGUCAGCUGGUGCUGUUGCCACUCCAAUGCCACAACCACCAGUUGGUUAUGCCACUCCAGGAGCAGAUCCUAUGGCUAUGAUGCAAGCUUACAUGCAGUAUUACAAUCAACCAGCACCUAAUGGGUAUACAGCAGAACAAUGGGCUGCAGCUCAGCAACAAAACUGGGCUCAAUGGCAGCAAUGGCAACAACAAUACCAGCAAUGGCAAGCACAAUAUGGUGAAAAGUAUCAGGAAACCAUGAAGCACAUAUCAGCACAGAACUUGAACUUAUCCAGUCAGGUGCCACAGUUACCGGUUGUGCAACCUCCACCGCCUCUUCCAAAAGAGGAUGCAAAGCCACCAUUACCCCCAACCACAAUGAAUACGUAUCAAUUUACAAGCAUGCCUCCUCCACAUCAAAAUAAUCUUCCAUUAUUUCCUGCUAAACAAAAUGCAAAUACCUCAUUACAGCAAUCAAACGUUCAGAAUUGUCCACAAAAUCCUCCUUUACCUCCAAACCAACCACCAUUACCUCCUGAAAGUAGUAAUAAUAGUAAAGAGAAUAAUAAUUUAAUUGGUAAACGUAGUAGUAAUGCCAUUAGUGAAUCUACUAGUGCUAAAAAAUUGAAAGUUGAAGAUGAAGAACUAACUGAGGCCGAGAAAACAUUUGAUGCUCAGUUUAAACAGUGGGAGGAACAGUUUAAUAAGUGGAAACAGCAAAAUGCUAAUCACCCAGACAAGACCCAAUACAAACAAUACGAAGCGAAAUGGACAUCCUGGCGGGAGAAGCUUAUUGAGCGACGUGAACAGAUGCGUAGGAAACGCGAGCAACAAAAGCAAGCUACCGCUAAGACAGAAGUUGACAAAAAUAAAAGUUUGCCUGGUGACGAUAAAAUAAUGAAUAUACUGUCGAGUACUGAGAAUCAGGGAUUGAUUAAUAAUUUAUUAGGUAUUGGAAAGACUCUCGGUUUAACCGGAAAACAAAACACUAACGUACCUCCUCCGCCACCUCCACCGCCGGCUACUGAAGCUACGGCGUCUAACGUUCAAACAACCAUGACAUCUUCUCAGUCAACUUCAGCACCUCAGUUACCAGCCAUGAAUAUGUCUUCUAACGUGAUGACCUCAUCACCUUGGAAUUCUCAACAGUGGACACCGCAGUACAAUGCAAACGUAUCGAAUUUUCCAAAUUUUCAGUCUGUUAGCGGUGUAUCACAACUACCAUUUGGUGCUCCACCAACGCAAAUGCCUCCACCAAAUUUCACUCAGCCACCACCGAACUUUUCAAGUGUACCAAACUUUUCGCAACCACCGCCUGGAUUUGUCAGUAAUGAUUCCCGACAGGGUCAAAAUGCGCGACCGUCAAUUCCACCGAAUAUGCAAGGAAGACCCCCUCCGUUUGGUCCAAAUAACAAUACUGGUCCAGAUGGCGGUAUGCACAAUGAACGUCCAGGACAAAGCGGACCCAUGAACAAUUUUGACUCGGUGGGUCAUCCAAACAGUUUUAAUAUGAACGAUCCUACUCGAGAAAAGGAUGAACGUUUUACUCGAGAUGGUGAUCAACAGAAUAAUCAGUUUAGAUCCAAUGAUUUAUUCAGUCAACGGGGUGACAAUUAUAAAUUGAACGAUGAACGUAUGUCAGAGACUGAUCAGUUCAGAAGAGAGGACAGAAAUUAUCAAGAUUUCAGUGGUAAUCAGUUCAACCAACAUAAAAUGAAUUACAGUAACGACAGAUUUGGUGGGAAUGAUCGUUUUGGACCAGGCAAUAAUAGAUUUGGUCCAACGAAUGACAGAUUCGGACCUGUAAACGAUCGUUUUGGGUCUGGGGAUAACAGAUUUGCUGCUGCUAAUGAUCGAUUUGGACAAGGAAGCGAAUCUGUUAAUGAUCGGUUUGGAUCGAACAAUGAACCACCGUAUGGACCUGGUGGUGAUAGGUUUAACAGGAAUAACAUGGAUCGUUUUGAUCAAAAGGAUCUAGGAGAAAGGCGCGAUGGCUUCCCAGGUACUCCACGGAACUUUAAUAGAAAUAACCAGUUUGAACCACCGGACAAAUUCGCGCCAGAGUUGAAAAAACUUAUGGAAAAACGAAGGGCUGCGAUAGAUGUAUUUAAACCGAGCUUCCUCGAUUCCGACAAGAAUAGUAGCGUCGGGUCUUUGAGUGAAAGUUUCAAGAAAAUCACCGGUGAGUCUCCGUUUAUGAAAACUUCCACUUCGAACAAUAAUUUUGGGCCUCGUGGGUCUUCCAAUUUUGGGCCAGGUGGAGCCGCUAACUUCCGGAUGCCUGGAGACUUCAAAUCUCCAGGAAACCAAGAUUUCGGAACACGUUGUCCUACGGGAAUCGGACGUAACAAUUCGUUUGAAUCGCGAGACGGUGCUGCUCCAUUCAGAGGACUCGCCACUUCUAGUCCACAGCAAGAUUUCAUGGGCACUGAACCUAGACCAGAAAUACCAAACAUGGGAAUCGACAUGGAAGCGAAUAAAGAGAAUAAAAACGAGUCUGUGAUGGAACAGCCAGUAGCGAGUUCAAUCUUAAACGAACAGACUGUUGACGGUGCCCAGAAGGAUAGCUCCGAAGGUUACGCUGGACAAAGUGAUAUACCAUUGUUAGAAAAACCACCUUGGAUCGAUGCUCAACUUCCUGAAGAUUUGUUGCAAAAGGAUAAAAUUAAACCGGAUGAAAAUUUGUCUGCAAACUACAAUCCUUCAGAACAGGAUGCUCAGACUGCAUUUAACGACUCAAAGGGAAAACAAGAACUAUCCAGCAGCGAUAAUAAGAAAGUUGAGGCCUUGCCUUUUAUGGGAGAGAAUGAUCCAAAACCUGAAGACCUGAACAUGGAGCCACCACCUGAAUUACCAAACUUAGGUCCUGUCUCAGAUAAUGAACUGACUGAUCCUAUACGAGGGACAAACGAGUCUUCCUUGAAAUCGUUUCCAAAUAAUUCAGAAUGCUUUGAUCCUACACUCGGCCCAAGAGGUAUGCCGUUCAGACCAAAUACACCUUUCACUGGCCCUAGAGGCCCCACUGAUAACAGAUUUCCAGUCUUUGAACCUAGAGGUCCAGGUUCGUUUCCAUUUAACCCUCCUGCUCUAAACCAGUACCCGUUAGGUCCUCGAGGAUUCAGUGACGGACAGUUUGGACCAAGAGGUCCUAAUAACGGCCAGUUUGGUCCAAGAGGUCCCACUGAUGGACAGUUUGGACCUCAAGGACCUAACGAUACACAGUUUGGUCCAAGAGGUGUCAAUGAUGGACUAUUUGGACCCAGAGGUCCCAACGACGGUCCAUUUGGGCCUAGAGGUCCUAAUGGAGGACCCUUUGGACCAAGAGGGCCCACUGAGAAUCAGUUCGGACCACGAGGACCUAACAAUGGACCGUUUGGACCCAGAGGUCCUAACACUGGACAAUUUGGACCUAGAUUUGAUGGUCAGUUUGGACUGAGAAGACCCAAUGAUGGACAGUUCGGUCCUAGAGGACCAAUCGAUGGACAACUUGGUCCUCAAGGACCCAACAACCGACCAUUUACUCCUGGUAGACAAAACGAUGCACCUUUUGAUAACUCUGGACAAUUUGCUCCCAGAGGACCAACUGAAACGCACAGAUUUUCCGGACCUAAUGAUAGACUAUUCGGUUCAAGACGCAGCGAUGGACCCUUCCAAAGAAGUCCAAAUGGUUCUAAAGGAGCAAACAAUGGACAAUUUUCUAAUGUGAAUGAUGGAUGUUAUGGACCUCAGAGCUCAAACGAUUCGUACUUUGGGUCCCGAGGUCCAAUGGACGGGCCAAACGAUAUCAGAGGAAUUGGAGAAUUUAGAUCAAAAGGGCCAAUCGAUUACAAUUGCCCUAAACUCCCAGAGAACUCAGAAGCAGGUGGUUCCAACAUUCGUGGCGAUGGAGGAGUGUUUGAAAACACCAAUCAGAUGCGGAUAGAACCACAAGGGCAGUUUGACACGGAUGAUAUGUCAAAUCCAGGCUGGAGGCAAUCAUACCCCAAGAACAGCUUUGGUGACACUGACCAAAGGUCUUCACGAGAUUUCGAUUUUGUUAAUAAAUCUGGGCCAGGUCAGAAUGAAACGUUUAAUCAAGAUACCAUGAAUAAUGUUGAACGACGGUCGCAACUAGAUGCAAUCAAAUCUAACAUACCUGAAAGAUCAGAGAAGAGUAUGGCUGACUUAACUGUAGGAGAUUACAAAGCUGAGUUUGGGGAGUCUUCAUCCUUUGGUAAUUCUAUGUUCAUGAAACGGUCAGCAGAUAAUCGGCAGUCUCAAGUCAAGUGUCCACCAGUUAAAGAAUUUUGCAUAGAGAAACAGUUUAAUUACAAUCAUGGUGGAGCCACAACUGAGAAGAAAUUUAUUGAACAUAUACCUGCCAAAGUAAUUGACUAUGCUCACACCUCUCGUUCAGCGAUUCAGGAUCAUUUGACUCCAGUGCAGUGCUUUGAUUAUGGACAUGGUAAUUUGAAACCAUUGGUGCCCGACCAUGAGGUGCAUCCGAAGAAAGAUUUCAGAAACUGGGAGGAGAGUGAACAGAAUUUGAAAGAGUACACAGAAAAGAUAAAGAGAUACGAAUAUUAUGCGGAUAAAACAGACUCUAGGAGAUCUAGAAAUUAUAAUAAGAGAAGGAACAGUGAGGAAUCGUUUGAUGAAAGAAAACCUGACAGGGAGCGUAGAGAGAAGGAGGACCACAAAGGGAAGGAAAAAGAGGAUAGGUCGUUUGAUCGUAUGUCUGACAAAGAUCAAGAUGUUCGAUAUGACAAAAAUAGCAAUAAAGAAAGAACACGAGAAAAAUGUGACACUUCUCAAAAGGAACCGAUUAAAGAGAAUGACAAAGAUGAGGACAGAUCAAAAGGAAAUAAAAACUGGCAGGAGAAUGCGAACAAGAACGUCAUAGAUACAAAGCCAUCAGAUACCAGUGUUACAGAUUCUCAGCAUAAUGUAUUGGAACCUGCACAAAAGACCUUGGAACUGGCAAAGACACCAAACUGUACAAUGGUGGAUGAUCUGCUGUGUCCUCCAGGUCGCCAGAACAGACCACCAAAAAUAGCCAUUAUUUUGAGAGGUCCACCAGGCAGUGGAAAGUCAUUCGUGGCAAAACUUAUUAAGGAUAAAGAAGUUGAACAAGGUGGUUCUGCUCCAAGGAUUUUAAGUCUUGAUGAUUAUUUCCUGGUUGAAAAGGAGAUAGAAACCACAGAUGAUAAUGGGAAGAAAAUCACAGUUAAGGAUAUGGUUUACGAAUAUGAGGAAGCAAUGGAGCAAAGUUAUAUCACCUCUCUGGUUAAAGCAUUUAAAAAGAAUAUCACUGAUGGUUUCUUUAACUUCAUAAUAUUAGACUGCAUCAAUGAAAAAAUAUCCGAUUACGAAGAAAUGUGGAGUUUUGCUAAGACUAAAGGUUUUAAAGUAUAUGUCUGCGAAAUGGAAAUGGAUUUACAAAUCUGUGUAAAAAGAAAUAUUCAUAAUCGCACAGAAGACGAAAUAAAUAGGAUUAUAGAUUAUUUUGAGCCAACACCGAGUUAUCAUCAAAAGUUAGAUGUCAACUCAAUGUUGCAAGAACAAGCAAUUGAGGAAGUUCACAUGGAAGAUAGCGAAGAAACGCAGGAGAAACCCUCCCAACAACACAACGAAGAUAGUCAGGAUAGUCAAGAUGAUAUUCAAGAUGUUACUGGAGUCAGUAAGUGGGAACGUAUGGAGGCAGAGGAUAAAUUAGAUCGUUUGGAUGGACUUGCGAAGAAGAAAAAUGAGGGAAAAGUACAAACAAUGAAAGAUUUUCUUCAGGUUCCGGAUUAUUACAACAUGGAAGAUACUUCCGGUAAAAAAAGGGUAAGGUGGGCAGAUUUAGAAGAACGAAAAGAACAAGAGAAAAUGCGAGCUGUAGGAUUCGUAGUUGGUCACACGAACUGGGAUCGUAUGAUGGAUCCCACGAAAGGAGGAAGCGCUUUAACACGCACAAAUAUUACUUAUAAUAUAUCAAGACUGCUCUUUUUGUUGAAGAGAUUACAAUUAAAUGUUAUAGAAUUAUCUUUGUGGAAAAGAUAUUCUUGUCUCGAAUGUUCUACAAAUUUUUGGAUUGUUAUUUUGACAGUAAUGUUGAACAGUUUAUUUAGAAGAAUAUAACAUUAGUGUUAUUACUAUAAUUAAUAUGUGUACAUGUUUUGAAACCAUUUCUUUGAAACGAAGUUUCUAAUCUUUGUUUUAGAAGAAAUGAUUCAGGUUUUUCUCACUAUCAUAAUGAUAGUUAUGUUUUUAUUCGACUUCAGUAAUGCAAAAAACGUGAGUAAGGUGUCUACAACUUUUCGGGAGACGAUAUACGGUUUUAAUAUACCUUUGUAUCCGUUUAACACAAAGCAUAAAAGUCGUAUUGUCUUGUGUAAAACAUUGUAAUUAUUGUAUAUAACAUACAUUUAAUGAAAUUGUUCCAUUAUACAUUUUUAUAUGUAGUUGUGCAUAAUGUAUUAGAUAGAUUUACAGCUUAAGUAUACACUGCCUGUUGAGGGUUCUGUUAUUAACAAAUUAAAGUAUAUUCAUCAUUCAGUUCAAAAGAACAAUUAUUGUAUGAUUACAAUAAGAAAAAUAAAUUGUAGAAAA